Molecule: ribosomal RNA, 240 nt
Filed under: uncultured bacterium
Lineage: Bacteria
Description: partial 16S ribosomal RNA
Rfam family: Bacterial small subunit ribosomal RNA
Source: RNAcentral
AGUGGCGGACGGGUGAGUAACGCGUGGGUAACCUGCCUCACACUGGGGGACAACAGUUAGAAAUGACUGCUAAUACCACAUAAGCGCACAGGACCGCAUGGUCCGGUGUGAAAAACUCCGGUGGUGUGAGAUGGACCCGCGUUUGAUUAGCUAGUUGGUGGGGUAACGGCCUACCAAGGCGACGAUCAAUAGCCGACCUGAGAGGGUGACCGGCCACAUUGGGACUGAGACACGGCCCAA